This 496-nucleotide ribosomal RNA is filed under the name uncultured bacterium. Its description in RNAcentral is "partial 16S ribosomal RNA". It matches the Rfam family "Bacterial small subunit ribosomal RNA", at positions 28 to 507 of the family's 1533-position model. The record is from RNAcentral.
GAUGAACGCUGGCGGCGUGCCUAACACAUGCAAGUCGAGCGAACGGACGAGAAGCUUGCUUCUCUGAUGUUAGCGGCGGACGGGUGAGUAACGCGUGGAUAACCUACCUAUAAGACUGGGAUAACUUCGGGAAACCGGAGCUAAUACCGGAUGAUAUUUUCAACCGCAUGGUUCAAAAGUGAAAGACGGUCUUGCUGUCACUUAUAGAUGGAUCCGCGCUGCAUUAGUUAGUUGGUAAGGUAACGGCUUACCAAGGCAACGGUGCAUAGCCGACCUGAGAGGGGGAGCGGCCCCGCGGGAAGGAGACCCCGGACCGACACCGAGAGGGGGGCAAGAUGGGGAAUUUGGGCGGAAGGGGGGAAGGCUGAAAGAGGAAACCCGGCGUGAUGUAGAAAGGCUUCGGGUGGGAAAACCCUUUUUUUGGGGGAAAAAAAUAGCUGGAGGACACGGGGCUCUUCUGACGGUACCUGAAGAAGAAGCCCCGGCUAACUUCGGG